RNAcentral lists this ribosomal RNA (496 nucleotides) under uncultured bacterium. RNAcentral's name for it is "partial 16S ribosomal RNA". It matches the Rfam family "Bacterial small subunit ribosomal RNA", at positions 28 to 507 of the family's 1533-position model. The record is from RNAcentral.
GACGAACGCUGGCGGCGUGCCUAAUACAUGCAAGUAGAACGCUGAAGAGAGGAGCUUACUCUUCUUGGAUGAGUUGCGAACGGGUGAGUAACGCGUAGGUAACCUGCCUUGUAGCGGGGGAUAACUAUUGGAAACGAUAGCUAAUACCGCAUAACAAUGGAUGACACAUGUCAUUUAUUUGAAAGGGGCAAUUGCUCCACUACAAGAUGGACCUGCUUUGUAUUAGCUAGUAGGUGAGGUAAUGGCUCACCUAGGCGACGAUACGUAGCCGACCGGAGAGGGGGAGCGGCAAAAAUGGAACUAGAAAAGGCCCAAGCCUCUAACGGGAGGCGCAAGAGGGAAACUUCGGGAAAGGGGGCAAAGCUGAACGAGCAAAGGCGCGUGAGUGGAGAAGGGUUUCGGAUCGGAAAGAUCUGUUUUAAGGCAAAAACGGGAGUGAGAGUGGAAAGUGCACACUGUGACGGUAGCUUACCAGAAAGGGACGGCUAACUACGUG